GCUCCCAUCGUCUAGCGGCAUAGGACAUUGCCCUCUCAAGGCAAAGACCGGGGGUUCGAAUCCCCCUGGGAGCG
RNAcentral lists this transfer RNA (74 nucleotides) under Deltaproteobacteria bacterium CG07_land_8_20_14_0_80_38_7. RNAcentral's name for it is "tRNA-Glu". It matches the Rfam family "tRNA". From Rfam's summary of the family: Transfer RNA (tRNA) molecules are approximately 80 nucleotides in length. Their secondary structure includes four short double-helical elements and three loops (D, anti-codon, and T loops). The record is from RNAcentral. Lineage: Bacteria; Deltaproteobacteria.